UUAAAAAAGAAAAAAGAAAAAUAUGGUAUGUAUGUAUACACACAUCUUUAAAGAAAAAAGAAUGAUUGGUUUUCAAGGUGCAUGAAAGCUUAUUUAACUAGCAAUGAGAAAACAAUGUUAGCUCUCCCACAGUAGUCUUUAAUAGCUCUGCAUUCCAGCCUGAGUACAGAUGGAGCUUUGAUAUUAUCGCAGUUUUGCAGUGACUAUGUGCUGUACAUCCUGCUGCUAAUCCUGUGGUGGGAAUCAGCGCCUCUUAACACCUGGUGCCAAGACACAACCAUUUGCCUGAACCUGUCACAGAUGAUUUCAGCUACAGGAUACGCAGCAUCGUGGGCUGGAUUUGGGCAUAUCCUGGCUCGUGCUGCAACACAAACCCUGUUGGGCUGGAGACUUCACCAGUGCAGAGCAAAAAGCUGUCCCUACCCCAAAAAGGUCUCAGACUCACAAGGUUCACACUGCCGUUAGCCCAGUCAUAACUGUGUGAGGCAGACCAUUGUUUCUGUCACUGCUGGGAGAAGACAUUUUUCUCAUCACAGAACAAAGAGCACUUCGGGGUUCAAAGGCAAAAGGAUGUUGCAGUAUUGCUGGGACUUCCCUUCUCCCCCAGCCCUCCUCACCAGAAUGCAAUAUUCUGAUACAAUUGAUGGGGCGUUUGGAAUCUGACAGCAUUUGCUUCUACCUGGUUUCCUGUGAAAACCCUCCUGUCGCCUCACAGAGCUACAUGAAGGCCCAGGGCUGGGAUGGAAGAUGGAGAUGGAGGUGAUGGAGAUGGAGCCUCCUCCUGCAGGAGCCGCAGAGGUCACCCAGGGCUGAAGAGUGGGGAGAAGCUCAUUUGUUAUGCAAAUGUCUGCUUGAGCCUGGUGUAGACAGUGGAAAGCUCUUGAAUUAUUUUAAGCAGAGGACAAAAGUUCUUUCCCUCCCCCUAUCAUCUUGGAUCCUAGUAAAAACAAAACAAACCAGAAACCUCUCUGUGAACCAUCUGACAAUGAUCAGCGCUCGCUUUCCUGGCAGGAGCGCGGCAGCCGGGCAUACGCAGGCGCGUGGAAAUAGAACAAUGAAGAAGAAAGCUGUAUUGGCAGC
Molecule: long non-coding RNA, 1080 nt
Organism: Strigops habroptila (Kakapo)
Lineage: Eukaryota; Metazoa; Chordata; Aves; Psittaciformes; Psittacidae
Exons: 5
Source: RefSeq, a predicted model, not a curated record